Molecule: transfer RNA, 72 nt
Organism: Ovis aries (sheep)
Lineage: Eukaryota; Metazoa; Chordata; Mammalia; Artiodactyla; Bovidae
Rfam family: tRNA
About the family: Transfer RNA (tRNA) molecules are approximately 80 nucleotides in length.
Source: Rfam
UCCCUGGUGGCUCAGAGGUUAAAGCGUCUGCCUCCAAUGCAGGAGACCUGGGUUCGAUCCCUGGGUUGGGAA